RNAcentral lists this ribosomal RNA (253 nucleotides) under uncultured bacterium. RNAcentral's name for it is "partial 16S ribosomal RNA". It matches the Rfam family "Bacterial small subunit ribosomal RNA", at positions 524 to 776 of the family's 1533-position model. The record is from RNAcentral.
GACGAAGGGGGCUAGCGUUGUUCGGAAUUACUGGGCGUAAAGCGCGUGUAGGCGGUUAUCCAAGUCAGGGGUGAAAGCCUUGAGCUCAACUCAAGAAAUGCACUUGGUACUGGGUGACUAGAGGACCGGAGAGGAUAGUGGAAUUCCCAGUGUAGUGGUGAAAUACGUAGAGAUUGGGAAGAACACCAGUGGCGAAGGCGGCUAUCUGGACGGUUUCUGACGCUGAGGCGCGAAAGCCAGGGGAGCGAACGGG